Long non-coding RNA from Pan troglodytes (chimpanzee), 2412 nucleotides. RefSeq lists it as uncharacterized. The transcript is spliced from 3 exons. The record is from RefSeq and is a predicted model, not a curated record. Lineage: Eukaryota; Metazoa; Chordata; Mammalia; Primates; Hominidae.
CACGAGGACACACACGACUCCACCGCUGCUGCUUCAUCUUUCCGGUCUAGUGUCCCGUGCUCAGGAGUGGAAGGAAUUUCUGCAAGGUUUUGAGCCUCACGCGUCGCAUCCACAGCCCCAAACCGAAACCUCACCAUUCUAGCCAAAGGGGAUUAGAAGAAUUGCUGCUAUCUAAUGCAUCCUGUGUUUGAGAAUAGACUUCUAUGUCAAAGUAUUUUUAGUGAUGUGUGGCCUCACCACUUAAAUCCAGUUUAUUGAAUCUGAAGUGAUUUGCUCCUCUUUCUGGACUACACAAUAAACACCCUCCAACGUCCCCAGCCAUGCGCUUCCCAUCAUUUGGCUGAAGGGGGAAGGAAUUCAAGGCCUUAGAGUGGGGAAGCUACAAUUUGGAAGAAUCCUGGAAGCACAGAUUACCCUGUGAAGCAGCAUCCCCAUGAGGGUCUCUUUCUUCUGUGAUAUAAGCAAGAAAUAAAUGAAUUGUGUAAAUCCAGUGAGAUUUAGUCAUCUCUGUGUUAAAUCAGUUAGCUACUCUGGCUCAUACAUCAUCUUCUGGCUGCUUUUGACUCAUAGCUUGGUUAAGAUGAGGUUAUCUAAGGUGUUCAUCAUUUCAAACCGUCCUUCUUACUAUUGCCAAGAUAAUUUUUAUGUCAAACAGCCAUUUAAUGGCAGCUUAUUUCUAAAUUAUUCCUAUCUUUCACAGUCUUAAUAUAGUUCACAUUAUGACCCUAACUCCAUUGAUAUUUUAUUUUUAUUUUUAUUAUUUAUUUAUUAUUUAUCUAUUUUUGAGACAGUCUCACUCUAUCAUCCAGGCUGGAGUGCAAUGGUGUGAUCUCGGCUCACUGCAUCCUUGGCCUCCUGAGUUUCAGUGAUUCUCUUGCCUCAGCCUCCUAAGCAGCUGGGAAUACAGGCAUCUACCAUCAUGCCUGGUUAAUUUUUGUAUUUUUGUAGAGACAGGGUUCGCUAUGUUUCCCAGGCUGGUCUCGAACUCCUGGGCCCAAGUGCUCUGCCUGCCUCGGCCUCCUAAAGUACUGGGAUUAGAGGCAUGAGAUACCUCACCCAGCCACCCUUGAUAUUUUAAUAAGUUUGUUUUAUUUAUUUUAUUUUUCAUGUUUAUCUCAUCAUUGAGCCACUGCUUCUCUCUCUCUCUCUCUCUCUCAGCCUCCCCCCUGCCCCCCCUCCCCCAUACACACACAAAUCUCAACAUUCCUUCCAGAUCAUAGUAAAGUUCACAUUCUCUCUAAGCCUUUACUGGCUAUCUCCACCCUCUUUACAUUUCCAGCCCUCUACAUGAAGCCCCCAUCUCAUCUCCUACCAUGUUGUCCCCUUCACAUUGUCCUUCAUGCUCUGUUUCCAACACACCAAGUUGUUUCCCUUAGGAUGCCAGCACUUAUUUACCCAUUUUCUCAAAACGCUCUUAACCUAAAACCCCUUAUAGUUUGCACCCUCAUGUCAUUCAAAUUUCUUAUUGCCAUUUCUUGGAAUUUCAAUUGCCGUAUUUUAAAUAGUACUCCCACAGGCUGUUAUGCUGCAUCUCUUUAUCAUGCUUUGCUUUUUUCUAGUGCUUACAACUAUCUGAUAUUGGUAUGUCUGUUUAUUUAAUUUUAUGUUCCCUUCCGUAGAAUGUAAAUUCGCUCAGAGAAGGGGAUUGGUCUGUUCUGCACUACGUGUUCACUGUCCAAAGCAGUUUCUGCCCUAUAAUUGGGGCACAGUAAAAAUCUGUUUAAUAAACAGAUGAAUCAAUAAGUGUACCCUUCUGGAAAACUAUGUUAAUGAUGAUGAAAACCAAAAUCAAGAGUUUCAGAUAUUUUUCCUAUUUGUUACCUCAUUUGAGUCUGUUUCUCUCUCUCCCUCCUUCCCUAUUUCUCCUUCACAUAUUACAUUCUUGAAACAUGUAGAUAGUGAGGCUUAAAAUUACCCUACCCUGUUAGAACAUUGCAGUGGCAAAGGAAGAAUCCAUACAUUUUUACUCCUGAGUAUGAUACCACGACAAUAUGCACACAACACCAGUUUGUAGAUUCAGUCUUAAAUAUAAUACCUAGUCAUUACCUCUUUAGUGUUUCACCAAUAUUUUAAUAUUUGAUAUUGUUAUAACUAGAUUAUAAAUAUUUUAAAAGAAAAGAUCAUAUAUUAGCAUUAUAGUAAGAGGUUGCAUUUGCUCAAAUAGUUCCAUUGAUUUACUUACCUAUUGAUUUUUGUUCAGAAAAUAAAUUCUAGUUUAAUGUAGUAUCAUUUAAAGUCUUACUUUAAAUGUAACAUGGCUUCCUGCUUAUAUAGAAUAUAUGUUCUACAAAUAAAGUACUAUUUUCUAGGCUUUUAAAAAUAAUAAACACAUAAUGAAAUAAUAGUAAUGUCUUAUGCUUGGUGGACAGCAAUAACAACCAUAAAUCUCUUUUUUUGGCAAUUCUCCUUAGU